AUGGAAACAACCCAAGUAUACAUUUUUCAACAACCCAUAUCAUCGUCAUCUCAAAUGUCUAAAUUUGAGAGCUCUUCCCAGUUCCCAGUGGUUGAAGGACUAAAGGGAAAAGAAAACCAAUAAUAACAGAAAAUGAGGAAAAGACAAGAUCAGUCCAAACGUUUCAAGUACCUACUUGUAAAACCAAAGUAUCCUCUUCUCAACUCUUGCUACUAGCACCAAGGCUCUCAUAAAACAAGAUGUACCCAUGAUCCGUAUUACUUGAAUAUUCCUGUGCUGACCCAAAAAAUGUUUGCACAACAGACUCAUCAAUAAUCUCCACAUUUUCGUCAUCAAAAAAUAGCCAGUGCCAGUGAUUGUGGCUUUUGACGAGGCUGACAUAAUGUCCAUGAUUGGGUCCACUUCCAACAUGAACAACUACUGCAAAUAAUGAGUAUUCAAUAUCUGCAUCUUCCAUGGUGUUACUCAGCUUAAGCUCAAGUGGGAAGACAACUCGAUAAGAUAGCUUCUUGUACCGACCCAACUGCUCAAUGUAUUUGAACCUCUUCAGAUGGAUGACCAAGAUGUGAGGGGGUUUCUUUAUCUUCAUCCUCUUCUGGGCUUCUUGCAAACUGCAGCACUUGUCACAGAAAAACUUAUCCUCUGCGUUCAAAGUCUCUGUGGAACUAAAAUUUUUCAAACAACUUGUUAUUGAACUAUUCUGUUCAAUAUCAAGGCUCAAAUCGAAAAAUAUUUCAUCUCUUGCUGUAACAGUCUCACACUGCAGGCAUCUUGUCUCGUUGGUAAGAAUUCCCUGAAAAUUUUUGUGCACCCAUGUGACCAAAGGCUCCUUUGAAACACCAUUUGCCUGAGCAUUCUUUGGCCCAUUUGCAGUCUUUUCAGGUGGGGAUGAAGUUUCUGGAUCACUUUUUACAGCUUGAGCCUCCUUCUCCAGUAUGUCAACAAGUUCAUUUAGCAAAAAAAAAACAAAAUGAGCUUUUCCGUAGCUAUAUGCACCAGGAUGCUCAUUUUGUUUUUUCAAUCUCUGUACGAAACGUUUUGGGGCAAUUACACCUGUUUUCUUCUUCUGUGAACUUAUCUGUGUAAAUAAGUCCGCCAAGCAUGUCAAUAGAUUUUCUUCAGCAUCCCCAGUAUUUUUAUUAUUAGCAUA
This 1150-nucleotide unclassified non-coding RNA is filed under the name Hevea brasiliensis (rubber tree). Lineage: Eukaryota; Viridiplantae; Streptophyta; Magnoliopsida; Malpighiales; Euphorbiaceae. The record is from RNAcentral.